Molecule: ribosomal RNA, 557 nt
Filed under: Coniochaeta sp. S12
Lineage: Eukaryota; Fungi; Ascomycota; Sordariomycetes; Coniochaetales; Coniochaetaceae
Description: eukaryotic LSU rRNA
Rfam family: 5.8S ribosomal RNA (bases 198-351)
Source: RNAcentral
GUUGGUGACGCGGAGGGACAUUAUUAGAAGCCGAAAGGCUACUUAAAACCAUCGCGAACUCGUCCAAGUUGCUUCGGCGGCGCGGCCUCCCUCACGGGGGCGCCGCAGCCCCGCCUCUCCGGAGGUGUGGGGCGCCCGCCGGAGGUACGAAACUCUGUAUUAUAGUGGCAUCUCUGAGUAAAAAACAAAUAAGUUAAAACUUUCAACAACGGAUCUCUUGGUUCUGGCAUCGAUGAAGAACGCAGCGAAAUGCGAUAAGUAAUGUGAAUUGCAGAAUUCAGUGAAUCAUCGAAUCUUUGAACGCACAUUGCGCCCGCUAGUACUCUAGCGGGCAUGCCUGUUCGAGCGUCAUUUCAACCCUCAAGCCCUGCUUGGUGUUGGGGCCCUACGGCUGCCGUAGGCCCUGAAAGGAAGUGGCGGGCUCGCUACAACUCCGAGCGUAGUAAUUCAUUAUCUCGCUAGGGACGUUGCGGCGCGCUCCUGCCGUUAAAGACCAUCUUUAACUCAAGGUUGACCUCGGAUCAGGUAGGAAUACCCGCUGAACUUAAGCAUAUCUA